UCACCCUGGGCCUGUGUCAACAUCAUUUUGCGCCUAAAAACGCACCGCGAUAAUAAGUUGGAAACUCCAGUGUGCUAUUCGGCCAGAGAGGAAAACAAAGGAAACAGAGCUUAUGCCACGUAAAUAAGGUCAGAGGCUGAUAACCUAUAUGAUCACACUCGUGUUAAACUAAAAUCCCACAGUGACACAUCCGCGCAGAAUACCGUUCGCGUGCCAAAUCCGAUGAUGGCCAGAGCCCGAAAACUGCACGCGCCUAAUCCACCCAGAAAGAGUUUAAGCGCGUGCUAAUGAGCCACAAAAUCUGAAUUUCAUCUUGAUAAAAAAAAAAAAAGUCCUAUAAACCUGUUUACAGUACUGGACCGAAACAAAGCAUCCUCGCGCAGAGCGAGCGACGCUCCUCGCGCUCCAUCCUCCCGGUGCGUCACAGCUGUCCCAGCUCCGCGAGGGAGCCGAGCUGGACCUGUGCACGAGAGCAUACGGCGGUAACGUUAGCUUUAUGUGCUGUUUGGAACAGAACACGGUUGUUUACAAGCAGCCACGGGGAGUAUAAGCAGUAGCUGCUCGCCUCAGGGGACCGCAAACGCGUCCCUGCAUCCCCGGUCCUAAUCUCCGCCAGCAUCCACUAACCUUUACCCACAGCAAUCCACUCACGAGCCUAACUCGGAUUUAAAAAAAAAAAAAAAACACAGCACGUGUGCGUAGUUUUCCGCCAAAUGACAGGGAGCUACAGUGUGCCCUAACUCAGGGACAGUGAGCCAACCGGACCGGGGGCUGAGGGCUCCUCUGUAAUGCGCGGAGACAUUCAAAAUGCACGGAGGCGAGCGGCUGCUGAUGCGAAACUAGAAACAGAACACCUCGAAACUGGAAUUAAAGGUUGGCAUUUCACGCUCAAGGAGAGGCAAAACUCUCACUUCUAACAAAAAAAAACAACUUUUGCUGCAUUCGUGGUGAAUUUCGCCGAGCACCAGCUCCAACCGACCGCCGCUGUCCGGAGUCAGUGACAAGGAUGCCGCCGGCGGGACCAGAGGAUGCUGCUCCACAAUCAACACAGCUCGGCCUUCAUUCCACAGCUUUUGCUCCGGCCACAGCCUCACAAUUCAUCCCCACACAACCUGAUGGUCCAGUGUGAAAGAUUUAGGGGAGCUCUGUUGGCAGAAAUGGAAUAAAAUAUUCAUAGGUAUGUUUUCAUUUGUGUAUAAUCACCUGAAAAUAAGAAUUGUUGUGUUUUCGCUACCUUAGAAUGAUCUGUUUUCAUCUACAGGGUCCUCCAUGUAGACCGCCAUGUUUCUGCAUAUCAGACAAACAAAUAAAGGAACUUUUGUGUUUUU
Dicentrarchus labrax (European seabass) is the source of this 1328-nucleotide long non-coding RNA. RefSeq lists it as uncharacterized. NCBI's taxonomy places the organism in Eukaryota, Metazoa, Chordata, Actinopteri, Moronidae. The transcript is spliced from 2 exons. The record is from RefSeq and is a predicted model, not a curated record.